Molecule: ribosomal RNA, 332 nt
Filed under: uncultured eukaryote
Lineage: Eukaryota
Description: partial 18S ribosomal RNA
Rfam family: Eukaryotic small subunit ribosomal RNA
Source: RNAcentral
CAAUAGCGUAUAUUAAAGUUGUUGCAGUUAAAAAGCUCGUAGUUGAAUUUCGGGUCCCCGCGCUCGGCGCUUCAUUGUGCCGUCGUGGUGUCCCUCCUCGCCGUAAGGCGUCCUUUACUGUGAAAAAAUUAGAGUGUUCAAAGCAGGCAAUCGCUUGAAUACAUUAGCAUGGAAUAAUAAGAUAGGAUCUUGUCUAUUUUGUUGGUUGCGGACAACGAUAAUGAUUAAUAGGGAUAGUUGGGGGUGUCCGUAUUGAGCUGUCAGAGGUGAAAUUCUUGGAUUUGCUCAAGACGAACUACUGCGAAAGCAUUCACCAAGGAUGUUUNCAUUAA